CCUACGGGCGGCUGCAGUGAGGAAUAUUGGUCAAUGGACGAGAGUCUGAACCAGCCAAGUAGCGUGAAGGAUGACUGCCCUAUGGGUUGUAAACUUCUUUUAUAUGGGAAUAAAACGUUCCACGUGUGGGAUUUUGUAUGUACCAUCUGAAUAAGGAUCGGCUAACUCCGUGCCAGCAGCCGCGGUAAUACGGAGGAUCCGAGCGUUAUCCGGAUUUAUUGGGUGUAAAGGGAGCGUAGGUGGAUUGUUAAGUCAGUUGUGAAAGUUUGCGGCUCAACCGUAAAAUUGCAGUUGAAACUGGCAGUCUUGAGUACAGUAGAGGUGGGCGGAAUUCGUGGUGUAGCGGUGAAAUGCUUAGAUAUCACGAAGAACUCCGAUUGCGAAGGCAGUUCACUGGACUGCAACUGACACUGAGGCUCGAAAGUGUGGGUAUCAAACAGGAUUAGAUACCCUAGUAGUC
Molecule: ribosomal RNA, 460 nt
Filed under: uncultured bacterium
Lineage: Bacteria
Description: partial 16S ribosomal RNA
Rfam family: Bacterial small subunit ribosomal RNA
Source: RNAcentral